This is a long non-coding RNA of Gadus morhua (Atlantic cod), 3242 nucleotides long. Lineage: Eukaryota; Metazoa; Chordata; Actinopteri; Gadiformes; Gadidae. The record is from Ensembl.
UUUCAAAACAACACAAGCCAAACCCAACAUUGAGAAACAGUGUACCAGACUGACACAACGUUGCACACGUUGUGUUUUGUCUUGUGAGUAAACAUGAUGAUAGCAGAUCCUUUUAGACCACGACCGGUGCCAAAGCUAACAUGGGCCGCGGCUGUGCCCUUUCCACGCUCUACUUGGAUCCACCCAUACGUACCGGAGGACGACUUUGACCGUGUUUCCUACACGAUAUGGAAGAACGCACAGAGACAGGGUACUGGUGUGCUGCGGACGAGGACGACGAAGGAGGUUGAAGUAGACAGAGAUCAACGCUCUCUCGCGACACCCUGCAGCGAACGCUGUACUGUAGGAGCAGAGGACCAGGAAGGACGGGUCAAGAGGGAAGCAGAAGAGAUGUUGUCCAUGGUUCGCCAAGAGUUGGAGGACCUGUAUUCAGACAAAAGUAAGGAGUCACAAGGAUGGGAAGAUGAGCUGAGCAGAAUAGAGAUCCCGGGGGCCCGCGUCGAGAUGAAAAGAAGCAGCGCUGGGAUUCUGCUCAAGGGGGUGAAACAGAUUUGUGUGGACGGAAGCAGCCAGCCUACCAGCGCAGAGUCUCUGAUCCCGUUACGUCCGUUCACCCGAGGGAGGUCCCUUCACCCCGCCGCCCUCCCCGAGGCCUCCACACCUGGGAGGAGCCGUCCCGCCCACCCUGCCGACACAGGUCGCGCCCCCCGACGGGCAGAUCAGCAGGACACUCCCGCCCGUACCUCUCGUGCCUGUCAGACUGAAGGCGUCUACUACAGCAGCGAUAGCGGCGACGAUUCCCACGGGCUCCCGGGCCCGCGUCGCUUGACCGCCGACAGAAGCAGCAACGAAGAAGCGGCGGCUCCCACCUUCGGCAGUGGGCAGUGCCCCUGCGGAGCUUCCGGGCCUCGGCAGAAGCCCGCUACGUGCUAUAGCUCCUUCUGCGACCUAGACCUCCCUUGUCGGCCCCUCCAGCCCGAGGCCUGCGAUGCGGCCCUACCCGAGCCUUCGCCUGUGGCUGCCCAAACAGAUGUCUCCCUCGCUCUACCAACGCCGACGCCCAAUAUCAAACCCUUCCAACCUUUUGAGGUGAGCUCGGGCCGUAAGUGGGAUCCCCAAGCUCUUGAACGAGAAUGCGACCGUCGACUGCUUGCUACCGACCAAAUGGCUUCGGUGUUUCCUGCUGGCGCCCCUGCCGUGGUUCCUCCCGUAUCCAUGUCAGCUCUGGCUUUGGCAAUGAUCCCCGACGACCAAGUGGUGCCCUUUCCCCUCAACCCCCUCGCCCAGUUCCAUGUUCCCGCGGCGUUCAGCACAGCCGCCCCCGCCCCCGCCUUCUUCCCCCCCGUCUGGUGCCGGGUGAAGGCUCCGAUCCAGGGCAGGGCACCAACACCGCGGGCGAGGCUGUCGUCCAAGGUUCCAGCUCCGCGUCAGCAGGGCGCCUACGACCUACUGGCUGACUUCCCCGUACUCCGGCCCCAUAACGUCAAGCGAGGCGUGGGCCCGGCGGCCCAGGUCUGGGGCGCAGACGGGAGGAGGAGGGGCCUGGCGGCGGUGCCGCAGGAUAACCUCAACCAGCAGCCCGGUGGGGACGGAGACAGAGAGCAGGGCAAGGAGCACAGCCAGCCCCUGGUCCCCAGGCCCGUGUGUGAAGGAGGUCAGGGGUUCACGCUGGCCCUGGCUCCCCCACCUCUAGCCAAGCCAGGCCUGAGCAACCUUCCUGUGGCCAAUUGCGGAGGGGCAGUCCACACACAGCCGAUUACAGAGACCGACGCAAGUGUAGGCGUAGACAUGACCAGCACCCGCGUCGACCUCGCCAGCCAUGCAGCUGCCACGCCGGAGAAAGCCGGGGGCAGCGAUACCCAGCGCACGACGGACGCCGGCGGCAAUGUCAAGGGCGAGUCUCCGGCUGCAAAGAAGAAUGCUGCUUGCCAGGCCACACCUCCCUCUAUGGUAGCCAAUCCGUCGAGAGCUCCAUGCCCCCAUGCCGUUCUCCAGCCAAUGAGAUUGGACUUUACCCCCCCAACCCAGAAAAUGUGGCCUGUCAGAAACGGGUAAAGAAUACAGCCAGUGGAACAUCUAUUUCCAGAGUGUCAGGCGGCCAGCUUGGAAUGAUGCCUGAUGGUAUGUAACAUAAUGUCCUCAUUUGGGGGUGGAACUGUGUCUGGGUCCACUGGGGCCCUCUGUCUGGCCAGAGGAGAGACCAUCAUGGAGCGAGACUGUGUCAUCAUCCUAUCUCACUUGUCAUCCUGACAAGCACCAUUUCCUUUCCCCCCCCCCGUUUGCUUGUUUUUGCUCCAUACAGAUCCAAGACCACGGACAACUACUGUCUGGUGGCACACCAUACCAUACAAUAACAAAUUAAAGAUUUAUUGAAAUGUCGCAUCCAUUUUCUGGGAGUCAACGGUAGCUACAUUAGCCCUGAUUAGCCGUAUCUUUUUUAACGAUCACUCUACUGAAUGCCCGAUUCCCUAUAUGCAUAAUUAGCACAUUCUUGAAUAUAUUGCGGUGCAUUUUCAUAAACCGAUCCACUAACUACUCAACUACCAAUAAAAAUCCAGAUAAAAGCCACAUAGUGAUUAAUUGUGUGGUUUAUAGAUCUAUCUUUUGCAUGGAAUUUUCCCUGAAUCAGUUUGCAUGAUAAUGCUAUAGGAGGAUGCCAUCAAAGCCAGAUAUAUAUAGAAUGACUCAAUUAGCCAAAUAUAAUGUAGUAGUCAGUCAAAGUCGAUCAUUUAGAGUGAACUCCAGACUUGAACAACUUAAAAGCUACCUUCUGCUGAGGCCGCUGUGUUGUAUGUAUUCUGGAGGAACGCUCCUGAAUGACCUCAGAGAGCUAAACAGUUCAUAUGCUAGCAGCAUGUCAGGAGCAUAUGCAAGCCCUGGGCCUUCUAGUGAUUUAUAGACUGCUAGCCGUUUCCUAAAUCAAUGGAUGACCCAAUGGAAGCCGGUGGUUGAUAGAUGAAGCAGUGGGAUGUGUAAAGAGGUUCUUUGUAAGAAGCUCCACUCAGAAGGAACAGUUGUUUAAGAGUGCGUCUGGUUUGAUAUUACAGUCUUCAGAUAAACCUCAACGGUAAGGCUAUAGUGCAUCGGCUGCCAAAGCAAGGAUGAAUGGUUUCUGGUACAUUAAUCAAAAUCCAAUAAUUCAAGUCAUUCACUUCAAGCUAAAAUAUGUGAAUUAAAUUUCAUGUGAAUCUUUAGGUUGAUGAUGGAUAUUGAUGAUCGGCAUUGCAGUGUGCCUUGUGAAA